CUAAAAAAGGAGAGUUUGAUCAUGGCUAGAAGGCCUGCGGCGGGCCUAACACAUGCAAGUCGCACGAGAAAGGCCUGCUUGCAGGGGCGAGUAAAGUGGCGCACGGGUGAGUAACGCGUGGUUAAUCUACCCUUGGGUUUCGGAAAAAUGAACCCGAAAGGGGCGCUAAUACCGGAUAAGACCACGGUGUCCACGGGCACUGGGGUAAAAGUGGGCCUCUACAUGUAAGCUCAUGCCUGAGGAUGAGACCGCGUCCCAUUAGCUUGUUGGUGAGGUAACGGCUCACCAAGGCCGCGAUGGGUAGCUGAUCUGAGAGGAUGAUCAGCCACACUGGGACUGGAACACGGCCCAGACUCCUACGGGAGGCAGCAGUGGUUUUUCUUGCGCAAUGGGGGAAACCCUGAUGUUGGGCGCGGCCGCGUGGGUGAAGAAGGCCUUCGGGUUGUAAAAGCCCUGUCAGGUGGGAAAGAACCGCAAUCUGGCCGAUACCUUGAACUGCUUGACGGACCAACCAAAGGAAGCACCGGCUAAACUUCCGUGCCAGCARCCGCGGGAAAUACGGAGGGUGCAGGCGUUGUUUCGGGAUUACUUGGGCGUAAAAGCGCGGUGAAGGCGGAACGGUAAAUUUGGAAGUGAAAAGCCCUGGGCUCAACCCAAGAAGUGGUUUCCCAAACUUGGCCGGGCCUUGAUUUCCGGAAAAGGGUGGUGGGAAUUCCCCGGUGUAUAGAGUGAAAUUCCGAAAAAAUCGGGGAGGAAAUACCAC
This 763-nucleotide ribosomal RNA is filed under the name uncultured bacterium. Its description in RNAcentral is "bacterial SSU rRNA". It matches the Rfam family "Bacterial small subunit ribosomal RNA", at positions 1 to 712 of the family's 1533-position model. The record is from RNAcentral.